AACAAGAAUAUGAAUGAAAGGAUUCACGUCAAGGGAGGAUAUAGACUUCAUCUAAGCUGCAGAAAGGUUUUCCUCAAGUGAGAAGCUGAACAAGCAGAAAAGAUGAAUAUUUCAAGAUUGAUGAAUGUUUUCAACAGAGGAAAAGAUAAUUCAAUUAUGGAAGUCAUUGCCUUGGGCUGCUGAGAGGCAAGCAACUUAUCAUGUCGCAAAGGGAAACAGGCAAUUAAUAUGCUGAAGAAUAUCUACAUCUAAUAAUUAACACUAAUAAAGAUUCACAAACAACACAA
Molecule: long non-coding RNA, 287 nt
Organism: Anolis sagrei ordinatus
Lineage: Eukaryota; Metazoa; Chordata; Lepidosauria; Squamata; Anolidae
Source: RefSeq, a predicted model, not a curated record